UCCAAAUAUGUUUGUGUACAUUACUAUCUUAGUGUACGCAAGUAGUUUAAUCAGUAUGGAGCUAAACAUCACUGGAGAUGGGUUGAAUAUCCCAGAGAGACCCGUGUCGAGAGUCCAAAGUCCCGAGUCCAGUGUCCCGAGUCCAGUGUCCCGAGUCCAGAUGACAGUAGUCCAAAGAGUCUACACCAAGUCCAGAGUCCAGAGGCGUGAGUCCAGUGUCGAGUGUCUAGAGGCGAGAGUCCAGAGUCCGAUAUCCAGAGAUGAGAUUGGAAUCCAUCCUCAAUUAAACCAAGAGAUAGUGCAGUAAAAAUUGAAACCAUUGAAAUACAUAUUUAAUAUUGU
Molecule: long non-coding RNA, 342 nt
Organism: Eurytemora carolleeae
Lineage: Eukaryota; Metazoa; Arthropoda; Copepoda; Calanoida; Temoridae
Exons: 2
Source: RefSeq, a predicted model, not a curated record